CUCCUUAACAGUUUUACUGGAUGGAAACACAGCAAGAAAACACACAGGCCAAUAUUGACUGAAUAACAACUGCAUUUCCACCCCCACCUCUAAAGGCAUAGUAUCAUGGCAGGUCACCUGUCAAGUCACCUGUCAGGCAGACUUUGCAGUGCCUCCGUGUGCGACUACCUUGAGCAGCAGUUUGAGGGACUUUGCAGGGAAAAUGCCGUGCAGUGAGGCGUAGGGGAUUGUCUACAGCAGGGCGACCCCCCCAGUGGAGGGGCGCCUAAGGGUGUGGUGCUCCUCCAACAGCUCUCUCAUGAGGUUCUCUCUGUAUUUUUGGUAGGUAAUUACUUUACCUAUGAGGGAGUGGGGAGGAUGAUGAAAGUUAGAGGAUGAUGAGGCAGUGGGUAGGUUUGUGAGAUAUUGUCACUGUAAUUGCAUAAUGGAUUUGUAUGUGAACUGUACAUCCAAUUACAAAGGGUGUGGUGCUCCUCCAAUAGCUCUCUCAUGAGGUUCUCUCUGUAUUGAGCUAGGGCUGGGCGAUAUGGACCAAAAGUCAUAUCCCGAUAUAUUUAGGCUGAAUAUCGAUAUAAGAUAUAUAUCCUGAUAUUUU
RNAcentral lists this long non-coding RNA (595 nucleotides) under Salmo trutta (river trout). RNAcentral describes it as "lncRNA (ENSSTUG00000023241.1)". The record is from RNAcentral. Lineage: Eukaryota; Metazoa; Chordata; Actinopteri; Salmoniformes; Salmonidae.